RNAcentral lists this ribosomal RNA (492 nucleotides) under uncultured bacterium. RNAcentral's name for it is "partial 16S ribosomal RNA". It matches the Rfam family "Bacterial small subunit ribosomal RNA", at positions 29 to 507 of the family's 1533-position model. The record is from RNAcentral.
AGUGAACGCUGGCGGUAGGCCUAAUACAUGCAAGUCGAGCGGCCGGACAGUAAGAUCUUUCUCUUACCGUUGGCGAGUGGCGGACGGGUGAGGCAUACAUCGGCAUCUACUUUUUCGUGGGGGACAACGUAGGGCCGCUUACGCUAAUACCGCAUACGAUCUACCGCAUAAAUCAGUAGAUCUUCGCACCUUUCCCGUUUCAUUUAGCCGGUGUCGGAUUAGCUAGUUGGCGAGGUAAAGGCCCACCAAGGCGACGAUCCGUAGCUGGUCUGAGAGGAUGAUCAGCCACACUGGAACUGAGACACGGUCCAGACUCCUACGGGAGGCAGCAGUAGGGAAUAUUGGACAAUGGGCGCAAGCCUGAUCCAGCAAUACCGCGUGGGUGAAGAAGGCCUUCGGGUUGUAAAGCUCUGUUAUUGGGGAAGAAAAGCAGUGUAUGAAUAUACCGCUGUUCUGACGGUACCCAAUCAGAAAGCACCGGCUAACUUCGUG